UACAGAGGGUGCAAGCGUUAAUCGGAAUUACUGGGCGUAAAGCGCGCGUAGGUGGUUUGUUAAGUUGAAUGUGAGAUCCCCGGGCUCAACCUGGGAACUGCAUGCAAAACUGGCAAGCUAGAGUAUGGUAGAGGGUGGUGGAAUUUCCUGUGUAGCGGUGAAAUGCGUAGAUAUAGGAAGGAACACCAGUGGCGAAGGCGACCACCUGGACUGAUACUGACACUGAGGUGCGAAAGCGUGGGGAGCAAACAGG
This 253-nucleotide ribosomal RNA is filed under the name uncultured bacterium. Its description in RNAcentral is "partial 16S ribosomal RNA". It matches the Rfam family "Bacterial small subunit ribosomal RNA", at positions 524 to 776 of the family's 1533-position model. The record is from RNAcentral.